GAAGAAGAUGCUCUCUCUCUCUCUCCCCUCCAGGAGUUCCUGUCGGCGACUCUAAUUUGUCGUUUGUGUCCGGCAAGCUCAGAUCCGUUGCAUUCUUUGGCACGUUGCCACUGCCUCCAUAUAGAAUAUUAUCAUGACCGUUUACCAUGAUCAAUCUAUAGUGGAUUCUGAACAAUGUUGUGCUUGUUCUGUUGUAGAAACUGGGAGCAAACUGUGCACUGUUUGCACCGCCAUACGUAGCUUCUUCGGCUCCUCAGGUGCCUUCGUACUUUGCAUCUCCUCCCGCAUCAGCUCCUCCUUAUAGGACUCCGUUUUGCUAACAAAACUGUUUUUGACUUGUUUUGGAUUUUGGUUGUUGAGUAGCUAUAGUUCUUGUCUUAGCUGUGUUUUCCGUGGUCUCAAGGGUUUGGCUCCAUAAGGUUCUUUCUCAGAGCUUCAAUAAUACGGCCUGGACUCUUCAGACUAAAAAACGGGCAGAAACCAGGAGCAAGCUGUGCACCAUCUGCACCGCGAUAUGUGGCUUCUUUGGCUCCUUAGCUGCUUUCGUACUCUGCACCUCCUCCCGCAUCAGCUCCUCUUUACGGUGCACUCGCCACAACAUACCUUGCGACAGCUCCUGCAUACCCAUCAUAUCCACCAUAUCAAGUGACGUACCCACCUCCACCACAUUUUCCCCAUCCUCCAAUAGCCAAUCCUCCGCCAACAUACCCUUCUCCCACUUUGGCUUGUCCUUUGCGUCCACAUCUGACUCUGACGAAGGCGCUGGAACUCGGUCAUCUUCUGCUCUCUGGCACAAUUCAAAAAGUACUUUCCGUAAAAGACCUUCACGAAGGCAUUCCACUCUGGAAUUGUACAUUCGGGAAACACUCUCCCCCUGGUGGUUUCCCACCAAGUGCUCGUGUUACCUUGCAGCUGGUAGACCGCCAGGACUACCUUGUCCUUUGCAGAGCACCUAAGUAGCGUGAAAACCUUCUCUAGCUCUCGGAUCCAAAGGGUUGCAGUCUCAGGAUCGCUUACACGCAAGAACCUCGACGGUUUUAGCUUUGGGAAUUGCUUCACCAAUUUGUGCAUUAGCUGCUCACCAUUUCCAUUUCCUGGUGGGACUUCAGCAAGUGCGGCGGCAACAACGGCAACGGCAUUGGUGGCAGUAGCGGCGGCGGCGGUAGUAGUAGCUUGGUUAUGAGCUUGUUGAUUAAUCAUAUUCCCCAGAGUCUUUAGCACCUGAAUGAUCCCAUCUAUCCUAGGAUCGCCUGGUGCUCAUCCCCCAGUACCAGCCUGUGGCAGUACUCUUUCCCUCGCGCUAGCCUAAGUUGGCGCUCUAUCUUGGGCAUCGAUCUUAGUCGGCGUUCUUCCCCAAGUACCAGUUGAAAUUGCCCUCUUUCGAGGAGUCCUCUGAUCAGGAUCACUCAUCUUACAGAAUCUUUACAAAAACCUGCUUUCCAAUUUUAACAUGGAAUUAGAAAUU
Long non-coding RNA from Eucalyptus grandis, 1465 nucleotides. RefSeq lists it as uncharacterized. NCBI's taxonomy places the organism in Eukaryota, Viridiplantae, Streptophyta, Magnoliopsida, Myrtales, Myrtaceae. The transcript is spliced from 2 exons. The record is from RefSeq and is a predicted model, not a curated record.